This 484-nucleotide ribosomal RNA is filed under the name uncultured bacterium. RNAcentral's name for it is "partial 16S ribosomal RNA". It matches the Rfam family "Bacterial small subunit ribosomal RNA", at positions 30 to 507 of the family's 1533-position model. The record is from RNAcentral.
AUUGAACGCUGGCGGCAGGCCUAACACAUGCCAGUCGAGCGGAUGAAGGGAGCUUGCUCCUGGAUUCAGCGGCGGACGGGUGAGUAAUGCCUAGGAAUCUGCCUGGUAGUGGGGGAUAACGUCCGGAAACGGGCGCUAAUACCGCAUACGUCCUGAGGGAGAAAGUGGGGGAUCUUCGGACCUCACGCUAUCAGAUGAGCCUAGGUCGGAUUAGCUAGUUGGUGGGGUAAAGGCCUACCAAGGCGACGAUCCGUAACUGGGCUGAGAGGAUGAUCAGUCACACUGGAACUGAGACACGGUCCAGACUCCUACGGGAGGCAGCAGUGGGGAAUAUUGGACAAUGGGCGAAAGCCUGAUCCAGCCAUGCCGCGUGUGUGAAGAAGGUCUUCGGAUUGUAAAGCACUUUAAGUUGGGAGGAAGGGCAGUAAGUUAAUACCUUGCUGUUUUGACGUUACCAACAGAAUAAGCACCGGCUAACUUCGUG